AUUGAACGCUGGCGGCACGCCUAACACAUGCAAGUCGAGCGGCAGCGCGAUCAGUAGCAAUACUGAUUGGCGGCGAGCGGCGGACGGGUGAGUAACACGUAGGAACCUGCCCAGAAGUGGGGGAUAACUAAUGGAAACGUUAGCUAAUACCGCAUACAUUCGGGAGAAGAAAGCUGCAGCAAUGUGGCGCUUUUGGAGGGGCCUGCGUACGAUUAGCUAGUUGGUGAGGUAAUGGCUCACCAAAGCGAUGAUCGUUAACUGGUCUGAGGACGGCCAGUCACACUGGGACUGAGACACGGCCCAGACUCCUACGGGAGGCAGCAGUGGGGAAUCUUGGACAAUGGGGGAAACCCUGAUCCAGCGAUGCCGUGUGAGUGAAGAAGGCCCUCGGGUCGUAAAGCUCUUUAGGCUGGGAAGAAGGAUGGUUGAGGAAAUGCUUCCAUUUUGACGGUACCAGCAGGAUAAGCACCGGCAA
Molecule: ribosomal RNA, 475 nt
Filed under: uncultured bacterium
Lineage: Bacteria
Description: partial 16S ribosomal RNA
Rfam family: Bacterial small subunit ribosomal RNA
Source: RNAcentral